Molecule: long non-coding RNA, 551 nt
Filed under: Panax ginseng (ginseng)
Lineage: Eukaryota; Viridiplantae; Streptophyta; Magnoliopsida; Apiales; Araliaceae
Description: long non-coding RNA (PGIN_LNC009999)
Source: RNAcentral
UCUCUCAAGCAACUUCACCAUUUCAUGUAAAGAAUUAUCUUGAUACCUUGGGCCAGAAGUUGAUUCAGCAGAUGCUCAACUUUGGAGAUGACUCCUACUGAACACAUGAAGUUAUGGAAGUAUUGAACACAGAAGUCAAGGUCAUUUCUAUCAUGCUCUAAACAGGCUCAAAAGUUACUUAUACACACACACACACACACACAAGCUCACUGGAUAAAUUAUCAUGCUAAACAGGCUCAAAAGUUACUAGUGUUUUUCUGUUUUAGUGUAUUACUUUUCGAGUUUGUUGAAAAAAUAGGAAGAAAAUCGCUAAGUGAAGAAGUUGUAUAUUGCUUAGCACCCAAAAUAAUUUAAAAAGACACUUCACCAAAGUGAAUCUAGAAGUUAUGAAACAUCAAUGUCAAAGUUUCCUAGAAUUUUACGUAUUUGCUCUAAAUUUUUUAUUCUAGCACUUUCUUAAUGUGUUCUCUGGUUUAAAUUUGUUUUGUUAAUAAUGAUUAUUUUUGUUUGGAGGAUGGAAGUCAGGUUAUAGGCUCUAUUUUAGACUUGCA